RNAcentral lists this ribosomal RNA (696 nucleotides) under uncultured bacterium. RNAcentral's name for it is "bacterial SSU rRNA". It matches the Rfam family "Bacterial small subunit ribosomal RNA", at positions 32 to 715 of the family's 1533-position model. The record is from RNAcentral. RNAcentral also lists the same sequence under 1 other name.
AACGCUAGCUACAGGCUUAACACAUGCAAGUCGCGGGGUAACAUCUGGUAGAGCUUGCUCUUCCAGGAUGACGACCGGCGCACGGGUGAGUAACGCGUAUCCAACCUGGCCCAUACCACGGGAUAGCCCGUCGAAAGGCGGAUUAAUACCGUAUGCUGUCAUUAAGAUGCAUAUAUUGAUGACGAAAGGACUGGCGGUAUGGGAUGGGGAUGCGUCUGAUUAGCUUGUUGGCGGGGUAACGGCCCACCAAGGCGACGAUCAGUAGGGGUUCUGAGAGGAAGGUCCCCCACAUUGGAACUGAGACACGGUCCAAACUCCUACGGGAGGCAGCAGUGAGGAAUAUUGGUCAAUGGGCGCAAGCCUGAACCAGCCAAGUAGCGUGAGGGAAGACUGCCCUACGGGUUGUAAACCUCUUUUGUUUGGGAAUAAAGUGCGGGACGCGUCCCGCAUUGCAUGUACCAUUUGAAUAAGGACCGGCUAAUUCCGUGCCAGCAGCCGCGGUAAUACGGAAGGUCCGGGCGUUAUCCGGAUUUAUUGGGUUUAAAGGGAGCGCAGGCCGUGGGUUAAGCGUGUCGUGAAAUUCCGUCGCUCAACGGCGGACGUGCGGCGCGAACUGGUCCACUUGAGUACGCGGGACGUUGGCGGAAUUCGUGGUGUAGCGGUGAAAUGCUUAGAUAUCACGAAGAACUCCGAUUG